GCCAUCAGAUACUCUGAACAGAGAUCCUUGAUCCAGGCAUCCAUCUCCUUCCAGCAGUGGCAUGUACUGACUUCUUGUUUCCCCAGCCUGAACUGACAUCAACUCCCAAUUUCGUGGUUGAAGUUAUAAAGAAUGAUGGCAAGAAGGCCCUUGUGUUGGACUGUCAUUAUCCAGAGGAUGAGGUUGGACAAGAAGAUGAGGCUGAGAGUGACAUCUUCUCUAUCAGGGAAGUUAGCUUUCAGUCCACUGGCGAAUCUGAAUGGAAGGAUACUAAUUAUACACUCAACACGGAUUCCUUGGACUGGGCCUUAUAUGACCACCUAAUGG
RNAcentral lists this small RNA (327 nucleotides) under Pongo abelii (Sumatran orangutan). Its description in RNAcentral is "retained intron". Lineage: Eukaryota; Metazoa; Chordata; Mammalia; Primates; Hominidae. The record is from RNAcentral.